RNAcentral lists this ribosomal RNA (422 nucleotides) under uncultured bacterium. RNAcentral's name for it is "partial 16S ribosomal RNA". It matches the Rfam family "Bacterial small subunit ribosomal RNA", at positions 360 to 774 of the family's 1533-position model. The record is from RNAcentral.
AAUAUUGGACAAUGGGGGAAACCCUGAUCCAGCCAUCCCGCGUGUGCGAUGAAGGCCUUCGGGUUGUAAAGCACUUUUGGCAGGGAAGAAACGGCGCCGGAUAAUACCUGGCGCAACUGACGGUACCUGCAGAAUAACCACCGGCUAACUACGUUCCAGCAGCCGCGGUAAUACGUAGGGUGCAAGCGUUAAUCGGAAUUACUGGGCGUAAAGCGUGCGCAGGCGGUUCGGAAAGAAAGAUGUGAAAUCCCAGAGCUUAACUUUGGAACUGGAUUUUUAACUGCCGAGCUAGAGUAUGUCAGAGGGGGGUAGAAUUCCACGUGUAGCAGUGAAAUGCGUAGGGGUGUGGAGGGAUACCGAUGGCGAAGGCAGCCCCCUGGGAUAAUACUGACGCUCAUGCACGAAAGCGUGGGGAGCAAACA